RNAcentral lists this ribosomal RNA (406 nucleotides) under uncultured bacterium. RNAcentral's name for it is "partial 16S ribosomal RNA". It matches the Rfam family "Bacterial small subunit ribosomal RNA", at positions 30 to 526 of the family's 1533-position model. The record is from RNAcentral.
AUUGAACGCUGGCGGCAGGCCUAACACAUGCAAGUCGAGCGAGCGGCGGACGGGUGAGUAAUAUCUGGGAAACUGCCUGACCGAGGGGGAUAACUACUUGCAACGGUGGAUAAUUCCGCAUAACAUCGGAGGUGCUCAGUGGGGAUUAGCUAGUAUGGGGGGUAACGGCUCACCUAGGCGACGAUCCCUAGCUGGUCUGAGAGGAUGACCAGCCAGACUGGAACUGAGACACGGUCCAGACUCCUACGGUAGCCAGCAGUGGUGUAUAUGGCACAAUGGGCGCAAUCCUGAUGCAGCCCUGCCGCGUAUAUGACGAAGGCCUUCGGGUUGUAAAGUACUUUCAGCGGGGAGGCGUUACCCGCAGAAGAAGCACCGGCUAACUCCGUGCCAUCAGCCGCGGUAAUUC